GAGAAGAACGUAGCGAAAUGCGAUAAGUAAUGUGAAUUGCAGAAUUCAGUGAAUCAUCGAAUCUUUGAACGCACCUUGCGCCCUUUGGCCAUUCCGAAGGGCAUGCCUGUUUGAGUAUCAUGAACACCUCAACUCUUCAUGGUUUUCCGUGAUGAGCUUGGACUUUGGGGGUCUUGCUGGCCUAUGGUCAGCUCCUCUAAAAUAAAUCAGCUUGCCAGUGUUUGGUGGGUAUCACAGGUGUGAUAACUAUCUACGCUUGUGGUUUUCCACCAGGUAACCUUCAGCAGUGGAGGUUCGCUGGAGCUCACAGAUGUGUCUCUCCUCAGUGAGGACAGCUCUUUGAAUGUUUGAUCUCAAAUCAGGUAGGACUACCCGCUGAACUUAAGCAUAUCAAUAAGCGGAGGA
RNAcentral lists this unclassified non-coding RNA (405 nucleotides) under soil metagenome. RNAcentral describes it as "partial contains 5.8S ribosomal RNA, internal transcribed spacer 2, and large subunit ribosomal RNA". The stretch from base 3 to 120 matches the Rfam family "5.8S ribosomal RNA", at positions 38 to 154 of the family's 154-position model. The record is from RNAcentral.